Molecule: ribosomal RNA, 608 nt
Filed under: Saccharomyces cerevisiae (brewer's yeast)
Lineage: Eukaryota; Fungi; Ascomycota; Saccharomycetes; Saccharomycetales; Saccharomycetaceae
Description: eukaryotic LSU rRNA
Rfam family: Eukaryotic large subunit ribosomal RNA
Source: RNAcentral
UGCAUAUCCAAUAAGCGGAGGAAAAGAAACCAACCGGGAUUGCCUUAGUAACGGCGAGUGAAGCGGCAAAAGCUCAAAUUUGAAAUCUGGUACCUUCGGUGCCCGAGUUGUAAUUUGGAGAGGGCAACUUUGGGGCCGUUCCUUGUCUAUGUUCCUUGGAACAGGACGUCAUAGAGGGUGAGAAUCCCGUGUGGCGAGGAGUGCGGUUCUUUGUAAAGUGCCUUCGAAGAGUCGAGUUGUUUGGGAAUGCAGCUCUAAGUGGGUGGUAAAUUCCAUCUAAAGCUAAAUAUUGGCGAGAGACCGAUAGCGAACAAGUACAGUGAUGGAAAGAUGAAAAGAACUUUGAAAAGAGAGUGAAAAAGUACGUGAAAUUGUUGAAAGGGAAGGGCAUUUGAUCAGACAUGGUGUUUUGUGCCCUCUGCUCCUUGUGGGUAGGGGAAUCUCGCAUUUCACUGGGCCAGCAUCAGUUUUGGUGGCAGGAUAAAUCCAUAGGAAUGUAGCUUGCCUCGGUAAGUAUUAUAGCCUGUGGGAAUACUGCCAGCUGGGACUGAGGACUGCGACGUAAGUCAAGGAUGCUGGCAUAAUGGUUAUAUGCCUCCCGUCUUGAA